Molecule: long non-coding RNA, 526 nt
Filed under: Physcomitrium patens
Lineage: Eukaryota; Viridiplantae; Streptophyta; Bryopsida; Funariales; Funariaceae
Description: long non-coding RNA (PPAT_LNC005886)
Source: RNAcentral
AUAUGAAAAAUAUGGAGCAUAUACUAUUGUCACGUUCGGUGGUAUAGCUUGAAAUGGGAUGAUAUUAACUGGCCCUUGAAUAUUAAUACUGGAAUUGGCCACUAUUUCUAAUAUCCAUUGUCGUAUUACAUGAAGUCUUUUUUGAGAAUGCACCUAGCACCUGGCUGUGGAAGGUAAAAAAAAAUUGCAACAAAAACUCUUUACAAUCUAAUAGGAUUAUAGAGAAUUUAUAAUUAAACAUUAAUAAUCAUAAUCAAACAUUAAGCAAGCUCAAUUAAAUUUUAUUGAAGUUAUAAAAGAAACACAAGGAAAUCCUAAAGAAAUAUAAAAGAAUAUUAAAGAAAACUUAGUCAAAUCCUAACAAAAAUCUAAUAGAACCUUAAAUUCUAACCAAAUCCUAAUCCUAAUCCAACUGUAAUCAAACCCUAAAUAAAUCCUAAAUCCUAAACCAAAUCCUAAUCAAAUCUUAAUCAAAUCCUAAACCUUAAAUCAAUCUCAAAUCAAAUCCUAAAUCAAACCCUAAAUC